GACGAACGCUGGCGGCGUGCCUAAUACAUGCAAGUUGAGCGCUGAAGGUUGGUACUUGUACCAACUGGAUGAGCAGCGCACGGGUGAGUAACGCGUGGGGAAUCUGCCUUUGAGCGGGGGACAACAUUUGGAAACGAAUGCUAAUACCGCAUAAAAACUUUAAACACAAGUUUUAAGUUUGAAAGAUGCAAUUGCAUCACUCAAAGAUGAUCCCGCGUUGUAUUAGCUAGUUGGUGAGGUAAAGGCUCACCAAGGCGAUGAUACAUAGCCGACCUGAGAGGGUGAGCGGCCACAUUGGGACUGAGACACGGCCCAAACUGCUACGGGAGGCAGCAGUAGGGAAUCUUCGGCAAUGGACGAAAGUCUGACCGAGAAACGCCGCGUGAGUGAAGAAGGUUGUCGGAUCGUAAAACUCGGUUGGUAGAGAAGAACGUUGGUGAGAGUGGAAAGCUCAUCAAGUGACGGUAACUACCCAGAAAGGGACGGCUAACUACGUG
This 497-nucleotide ribosomal RNA is filed under the name uncultured bacterium. RNAcentral's name for it is "partial 16S ribosomal RNA". It matches the Rfam family "Bacterial small subunit ribosomal RNA", at positions 28 to 507 of the family's 1533-position model. The record is from RNAcentral.